RNAcentral lists this ribosomal RNA (507 nucleotides) under uncultured Glomus. RNAcentral's name for it is "SSU rRNA". It matches the Rfam family "Eukaryotic small subunit ribosomal RNA", at positions 569 to 1078 of the family's 1831-position model. Lineage: Eukaryota; Fungi; Glomeromycota; Glomeromycetes; Glomerales; Glomeraceae. The record is from RNAcentral.
AGCAGCCGCGGUAAUUCCAGCUCCAAUAGCGUAUAUUAAAGUUGUUGCAGUUAAAAAGCUCGUAGUUGAAUUUCGGGACCAUCAUGUCGGUCGUGCCUCGGUACGUACUGGCAUUGUUGGUUUCUCCCUUCUGACGAAUCAUGAUGUCAUUUAUUUGGUGUUGUGGGGAAUCAGGACUGUUACUUUGAAAAAAUUAGAGCGUUUAAAGCAGGCUCACGCUUGAGUACAUUAGCAUGGAAUAAUGAAAUAGGACGUUUGAUUCUAUUUUGUUGGUUUCUAGGAUCGACGUAAUGAUUAAUAGGGAUAGUUGGGGGCAUUAGUAUUCAAUUGUCAGAGGUGAAAUUCUUGGAUUUAUUGAAGACUAACUACUGCGAAAGCAUUUGCCAAGGAUGCUUUCAUUAAUCAAGAACGAAAGUUAGGGGAUCGAAGACGAUCAGAUACCGUCGUAGUCUUAACCAUAAACUAUGCCGACUAGGGAUCGGAUGAUGUUAAUUUUUUAAUGACUCA